GUACGGCGAGUGAAGAGGAAGAGCUCAAAGUUGGAACCUGUUUGGCCUAGCUAAACCGGAUUGUAGACUGUAGAAGUGUUUUCCAGGCAAGCCGAGUAAAUAAGUCCUUUGGAACAGGGCAUCAUAGAGGGUGAGAAUCCCGUCUUUGGCUUGAGCAUUUGCCUUUUGUGAUACGCUUUCAAAGAGUCAGGUUGUUUGGGAAUGCAGCCUAAAUUGGGUGGUAAAUCUCACCUAAAGCUAAAUAUUGGCGAGAAACCGAUAGCGAACAAGUACCGUGAGGGAAAGAUGAAAAGAACUUUGAAAAGAGAGUUAAACAGUAUGUGAAAUUGUUAAAAGGGAACCGUUUGGAGCCAGACUGGCUUGUCUGUAAUCAAUCUAGGCUUCGGCCUGGAUGCACUUGCAGGCUAUGCCUGCCAACGACAAUUUGACUUGAGGGAAAAAACUAGGGGAAAUGUGGCCCACUUGUGGGUGUUAUAGUCCCUUAGAAAAUACCUUGGGUUGGAUUGAGGAACGCAGCGAAUGCUUAUUGGCGAGUUUUCCAGGAAGGUUUUCUGAGGUACUACGGUAUCAAGGUUGAUCUUUUUGGUUAUACUUCUAUUCGCUUAGGUUGUUGG
RNAcentral lists this ribosomal RNA (614 nucleotides) under Rhizopus arrhizus. RNAcentral describes it as "Rhizopus oryzae partial large subunit ribosomal RNA". It matches the Rfam family "Eukaryotic large subunit ribosomal RNA", at positions 83 to 629 of the family's 3401-position model. The record is from RNAcentral. Lineage: Eukaryota; Fungi; Mucoromycota; Mucoromycetes; Mucorales; Rhizopodaceae.